RNAcentral lists this ribosomal RNA (253 nucleotides) under uncultured bacterium. RNAcentral's name for it is "partial 16S ribosomal RNA". It matches the Rfam family "Bacterial small subunit ribosomal RNA", at positions 524 to 776 of the family's 1533-position model. The record is from RNAcentral.
UACGUAGGGGGCAAGCGUUGUCCGGAUUUAUUGGGCGUAAAGAGCGUGUAGGCGGCCAUACAGGUCCGUUGUGAAAACUGGAGGCUUAACCUCCAGACGUCGAUGGAAACCGUAUGGCUAGAGUCCGGAAGAGGAGAGUGGAAUUCCUGGUGUAGCGGUGAAAUGCGCAGAUAUCAGGAAGAACACCGGAGGCGAAGGCGGCUCGCUGGGACGGUACUGACGCUGAGACGCGAAAGCGUGGGGAGCGAACAGG